CCUGAGCUAGUCAAGGGUCAGAGUUAGGGCCUGGCAGGCAUGAAUCUACAGAAGCAGGUCUUUUGCCCAGGAUUAGACUUUAGGACUCAGGUGGGGACACGGAGGCCUGCCUAAGAAUCUGGAGUUUGCAACACAUAAAAGGAAAAGAGGGAGAGAGAGGAUUCGCCACUGCUAACACAAGGCAAAUACCAGGUUCUUUUUGAGCUAGGGUCUCAUGCGGACUUGACUGGCCUUGAACUCACUAAAUAUCAGAGGAUGACCUCAAACUUCCAACCCUCCUGCCUCCAUCUCCUGCGUGCUGGGUGACCGAUGGUAAUGUUGGGUGGAAGGUAAUCUAGGCUCAGACUCCCCACGAGUGUCCAUACCUGUAUCCAGGAAACCAUUUCCUCUUGGGACCUGCUCGGAAGGAAAGAGAACCUGAUGCGGAGGACAGUACCAGCCCGUUGGUUUAUCUGCUGGUCUCCCACAGCCCCAGCCUGCUAGCAUCUACCUGGCCUGCAGCUCCAGCGUGCGCUGCUUUCCGGACACCAGGAAGCAGUGGGGGAACUCAGCAUCCGUCAGCUCCCGCACCUGCCGGCAGAGGAAAGAGCCAUCAGACCCACAGCCCAGUACCGAGGACAGGAGCAAUCCCUUCCCCACCAGUCAGGCACCCAUGCACCUAGCUCUGCAACAAAUGGGACUGAAGGCUUUGGAACUAUGUCAGCUGACCCGGUGCGGAGUGGAGGGUCCAGAAACAGAAGGUGGACCUCGACAUGACUUGAGUCUAUGAAAACUUUUGGGGUUAUCUUUGCAGCUUAAAUGUUUGCACAAUGAUAAGUGCAAUCAUUCUCUCGGGA
Long non-coding RNA from Mastomys coucha (southern multimammate mouse), 836 nucleotides. RefSeq lists it as uncharacterized. Lineage: Eukaryota; Metazoa; Chordata; Mammalia; Rodentia; Muridae. The record is from RefSeq and is a predicted model, not a curated record. The transcript is spliced from 4 exons.